RNAcentral lists this unclassified non-coding RNA (340 nucleotides) under Hevea brasiliensis (rubber tree). The record is from RNAcentral. Lineage: Eukaryota; Viridiplantae; Streptophyta; Magnoliopsida; Malpighiales; Euphorbiaceae.
UACAACACUAACUGAAUAUGCAAUGUCAAGAUGAGUCACUAUCGGUUAGUUUAGUUUACCAACCAGUCUUCUAUAUUUCUCAAGAUCACCAAACAAUGCACCAUCAAUCUUUUGUAAGUUGCAAGUUGGGAACCAUAGGAGUGCUACAUGGCUUAGCAUCCAAUUUUCCUGUCUCUGCCAACAAAUCAAGAACAUAAAUUUUUUUUAGAUAGAAAAAUACGUUUCAUAAACAUUGCCACCUCAAUACCCAAGAAAUAAUUCAACAAUUCCAAGCCCUUUGUCUGAAACUGGGUAUAAAGAAAGGAUUUUAGAGAAGAAAUAUCCGCAAUUUCACUUCCAA